This is a long non-coding RNA of Eriocheir sinensis (Chinese mitten crab), 697 nucleotides long. RefSeq lists it as uncharacterized. The transcript has 3 exons. NCBI's taxonomy places the organism in Eukaryota, Metazoa, Arthropoda, Malacostraca, Decapoda, Varunidae. The record is from RefSeq and is a predicted model, not a curated record.
CCCAUGUGAAGUGAUGGAGGGUGCCAUGUGAAGCUCUCCACAGAUAACAGUGGUGACAGCACCAUGUUCUUCAGUGAUGUUGGGCAGUGAUGGAGGGUGCCAUGUGAAGCUCUCCACAGAUAACAGUGGUGACAGCACCAUGUUCUUCAGUGAUGUUGGGCAGUGAUGGAGGGUGCCAUGUGAAGCUCUCCACAGAUAACAGUGGUGACAGCAUCAUGUUCUUCAGUGAUGUUGGGCAGUGAUGGAGGGUGCCAUGUGAAGCUCUCCAGAGAUAACAGUGGUGACAGCACCAUGUUCUUCAGUGAUGGCGGGCAGUGAUGGAGGGUGCCAUGUGAAGCUCUCCAGAGAUAACAGUGGUGACAGCACCAUGUUCUUCAGUGAUGGCAGGCAGUGAUGGAGGGUGCCAUGUGAAGCUCUCCACAGAUAACAGUGGUGACAGCACCAUGUUCUUCAGUGAUGGCGGGCAGUGAUGGAGGGUGCCAUGUGAAGCUCUCCACAGAUAACAGUGGUGACAGCAUCAUGUUCUUCAGUGAUGGCGGGCAGUGAUGGAGGGUGCCAUGUGAAGCUCUCCACAGAUAACAGUGGUGACAGCACCAUGUUCUUCAGUGAUGGCAGGCAGUGAUGGAGGGUGCCAUGUGAAGCUCUCCACAGAUAACAGUGGUGACAGCACCAUGUUCUUCAGUGAUGGCGGGUAGUG